This 2893-nucleotide long non-coding RNA is filed under the name Mytilus galloprovincialis (Mediterranean mussel). The record is from RNAcentral. Lineage: Eukaryota; Metazoa; Mollusca; Bivalvia; Mytilida; Mytilidae.
UGUGGUGAUGAAAAUGGAUACUAAACAAAAGUGAUAUUUUGUUUAAGGAAAAUGAAAAAGACUGUAAAAGUUGAUGUAAAAUGUGAGUGAUUAAUUCCGUCAUCUGAAUAAUUGAGCUGAAUAAUUAAUAUAUUUAAAUUUUCAGACAAAACUUUUUUUAUGAAAUAGUCCCAAUUCUGAUCAAUCUUUGUCAUAUAAAUACACUUUUGAUGUGGAGAAAAAUCCUAUUAAGACUUUUUGUACUUGAAUGUAUUUAACUUUAGUUGAUGGAAUUGAUCAGAUUUUUUAUCAUCCUCCUGCAUUCUAUUGGUGAUAAGUUACUUGAGUUUUUGUAAGAGUAUAUAAGUACAUUAAAAAUGUAUACCAUGUCUACCUCUAUGUUAAAUGUUAAAUGUGCCAAUUGUGUUUUUGACAACAUGUAUACAUUAUAUUGAGCACAAAUGAAUGAGAAAACCUAUGUUUAUAAAUAUAACGUAAGCAAUCUCUAAUUGCUUAGUCCUGACUAAGAUUUUCAAAGGGAGAUAACUUGAGACCUUAUCCUUUUAUUAAUAUACCUGUUUUAGGGUAUAUUUUGCUUUUCCACUUGAAUAACAAUAUUUGGUAAGAGUGUUAAGAUGGUUCUACUCUAGAUUUGUAAUUUUUAAACUGGCAUGUUUAAGGUUGGAAUUUGUUAGUCAUUUUGAUUAAGAAGUAUGUGAUUCAAAUAGAUAAACCUGUUUACAGAGGCCAAUUUAGGGCGGGACAGGAGUUCUUCCUCAUCCUUAGUUUUAGGAGCUACAUAUAUUGUUAAAUGCAUAUACCUUUUAUAUAAUUUUCUCACUCCUAAUGAUGCAAUGAUUUGUCGCCCUCCCCCAAGUAUUCAAUAUUGACAUCUGUUUUAUAAGGCUAAUUGGAAACAUCUCAAUGGGGAUAUUCAAAAGACAUAUUUCGUAAAUAAUACUUUUAAAUUUGACUGCUCUACCCUGGUUAAACCAGUGGUAUGGCUACAUAACCAAUAAGUUGAUGUUUCAUGCAGACGACCUAGUCUAAAUUAUUGUGAUGUCUCUAUGUCCGUCUCUAUGUAUGAUGAAAUCAACAGAACAGUUUUGUAAGAGUUGCCAAAUUGCAAUGUUAAAAUGGUUGUUCGUUAAGUUUUUAUAAGGACAUUAUGACUGUCAAAUCCAAACUUCUGAUAAAAAUAGGGAAAAUUGAAAGAAGAUAAUAUUCCUUUGUAUUGAGAGAUGGAUAUAAUGUAUCUGUUGUAAAAUAUAAAAUCUGUGGCUGUUCUUGGAGCAUCUGUUGGCUUUGUCUAUCAUUAACUUAUUAUUCAUUGAAGUUGUUUAAUCAUUCCAUUCUAUUUAUAACUAUUCCAUUUUUAUGCAGCAUUGAAUUUUAUUUCUUGAGUAUUUUGUAGUCUAUGAUUUUACUAUGUUUUUUACUUUUUAAAAUGUAGAUAUGACUUGAGAAUUCAUUGAAAAUUACAUAAUGUAGAAUGUAAAGUAGAGAUCAUUUGUUUACAACAACAAAAAAUUAUGGUAUUUGGUGCUGUUGCUGUAAUAUGUCUGUUGAAAAAACAGAUUUGAAUGCAUCAAGUUUGUUCUUGUUUUGUAAUCUAUGUGAAAUUUUAACAUGGUGAUUUUUAGCACCGAAGCAAGGCUUGUUCUGAUUUUUGGACAAAUAACACUGUGGGCUCAAAGGACCAAACACAGUGAUUUUACUAGUUUUAAUGUUGAGCAUUUAUCUUUUCAUACAGUUUUUGUUUUGUCUUUUUCGUUAUGAUAAUACAUAUUUGAGGUAUAUCAUCAUAUCUAUUGUACUCUUUAUGAUCAAUCUCUAUAUGUAAAAAGAGCUUUUUUAAAAAAGGUUUUCAUUUAUAUUCUUAAUGACUGGUCAUGGCUGAGUUUUUCAAGCUGGUUUGUGGGAAAUGCACCUUAACAUGGCUAGAAGUUAUGUUUUUCAUCAUGUUUUGAAUGAAUUUGUUUAUUGAUUUUCUCUUGAAUCAGCAAUAUAUUAACAAAUUUUCACCAGUCAUUCCACUAGUAUAAUUGGUCAUUGUAAGAUGAUUCGAAUUCAAUCCAAAUGACUUUUUUGGGUUCACCUUUUAAACUGAUGAAAUAUAUCAGAACCUAAAUGAAAUAUGAUUGAAAGUUGAGGUAUUUUUAAAGCACCUUUAGAUAAAUAUCACAAACAGUUAUUGCCAAAACAAAUACAUAUAUAUAUAUAUAUAAUGUUUCCAGCAAUGUGCCAUUACCUUAUAUGUUCAUCUACAUAAUGUAGAACAAUAUCUCCGUGUAGCAUCACCACUGGAUAUAGGGACCCACGAAGCAGUGGAAAAAAAACCCAAGUAAGAUGUCAGGCAAGGUCAAAUCCUUUUUCAUUUUCAAUGUAUUCUAUAUUUUUCCAACAAGUAUUGUUUUUUAAUUCCUAAUAAUGUAGCUACUAUUUAAUGCUUUAUUGGCUUUCUCUCUCUUCAAGUCUUCAGAAUUGGACAGGGUGUUAAAUAUUCAAAGAAGCAUGUGGUGAGAUCAAACUAAUGCAAGACAUAUUUAUCCUUCAACUAUUCAUUUGAAGUUUUUGUAGAACAUAUUUGAGCUUGCAUUUUUUUUAUUAACACUGUAAUUUGAAACAACUAAUGUUUUCACAGAGAAAUUUAUGUAAAUGAAGCGGAUAAAUUGUAAAGUGAAUAGUUUUUUACUGUACACAUGGUACAGGGAAUAUAUACUUGUUUUUGAAACUCUUUAGGGAUAACCCUCUGGUGGUAAUGUUACAUAGUGACUUGAGUCUCAAAAAGUUGUGUACAAUUAAAUGUUUAUCAAUUUUAUGCAUCUUUAUGAUCUGUUUAUAGCUGUUUUUUGUUUUAAUCUGUGAUUAUAAUUUAUAUAUGCACAGGUGGUUGUUCUCAUUUAUAUCAUGU